RNAcentral lists this small nuclear RNA (161 nucleotides) under Nicotiana sylvestris (wood tobacco). RNAcentral's name for it is "U1 spliceosomal RNA". It matches the Rfam family "U1 spliceosomal RNA". From Rfam's summary of the family: U1 is a small nuclear RNA (snRNA) component of the spliceosome (involved in pre-mRNA splicing). Its 5' end forms complementary base pairs with the 5' splice junction, thus defining the 5' donor site of an intron. There are significant differences in sequence and secondary structure between metazoan and yeast U1 snRNAs, the latter being much longer (568 nucleotides as compared to 164 nucleotides in human). Lineage: Eukaryota; Viridiplantae; Streptophyta; Magnoliopsida; Solanales; Solanaceae. RNAcentral also lists the same sequence under 1 other name. The record is from Rfam by way of RNAcentral.
AUACUUACCUGGACGGGGUCAAUGGGUGAUCAAGAAGAUCCAUGACCUAGGUUGGUGACUUCCAUUGCACUCUGGAGGGGCGCCUGCCUAAGGUCGGCCCAAGUGGUCGAGCCUACGUCAUAAUUUGUGGCAGCUGGGGCUUGCGUUCGCGCAGCCCCUAC